CGGGGUGUAGCUCAGUUGGCUAGAGCGUCCGCUUUGGGAGCGGAAGGUCGCUGGUUCAAGUCCAGUCACCCCGA
This 74-nucleotide transfer RNA is filed under the name Elusimicrobiota bacterium. RNAcentral's name for it is "Elusimicrobia bacterium (activated sludge metagenome) tRNA-Pro". It matches the Rfam family "tRNA". Rfam says of the family: Transfer RNA (tRNA) molecules are approximately 80 nucleotides in length. Their secondary structure includes four short double-helical elements and three loops (D, anti-codon, and T loops). The record is from RNAcentral. Lineage: Bacteria; Pseudomonadati; Elusimicrobiota.